This 404-nucleotide ribosomal RNA is filed under the name Verrucomicrobiota bacterium. Its description in RNAcentral is "Verrucomicrobia bacterium partial 16S ribosomal RNA". It matches the Rfam family "Bacterial small subunit ribosomal RNA", at positions 355 to 776 of the family's 1533-position model. The record is from RNAcentral. Lineage: Bacteria; Pseudomonadati; Verrucomicrobiota.
UGGGGAAUAUUGCACAAUGGGGGAAACCCUGAUGCAGCGACGCCGCGUGAGCGAUGAAGGCUUUCGAGUCGUAAAGCUCUGUCCUAUGGGAAGAUAAUGACGGUACCAUAGAAGAAAGCCCCGGCUAAUUACGUGCCAGCAGCCGCGGUAAUACGUAAGGGGCGAGCGUUGUCCGGAAUUAUUGGGCUUAAAGGGCAUCUAGGCGGUUAAACAAGUUGAAGGUGAAAACCUGUGGCUCAACCAUAGGCUUGCCUACAAAACUGUAUAACUAGAGUACUGGAAAGGUGGGUGGAACUACACGAGUAGAGGUGAAAUUCGUAGAUAUGUGUAGGAAUGCCGAUGAUGAAGAUAACUCACUGGACAGCAACUGACGCUGAAGUGCGAAAGCUAGGGGAGCAAACAGG